UGGCAAAAGCACACCCCUGCUA
Molecule: non-coding RNA, 22 nt
Filed under: Mus musculus (house mouse)
Lineage: Eukaryota; Metazoa; Chordata; Mammalia; Rodentia; Muridae
Source: RNAcentral